CGUUAGGGGAUAUACCUCAUAUAAAAGGUGUUUCAUCCGAUCACUUAUCUAUCUACUUUCAUCUCUCAAAGCAACACUAAUCGCAGGAUGUAACCACGGGGCAUUGUUGAGCCAUGCAUCCACAGAAGGGUGACCUGCAGCAAGAUGGCACCACCGUAUGGCCCAGCUGUGUGUUCCCAGUAUGGGGCAGCUAACUCAGCAACAGUUA
This 208-nucleotide long non-coding RNA is filed under the name Olea europaea subsp. europaea. The record is from RNAcentral. Lineage: Eukaryota; Viridiplantae; Streptophyta; Magnoliopsida; Lamiales; Oleaceae.